Molecule: ribosomal RNA, 381 nt
Filed under: Triticum aestivum (bread wheat)
Lineage: Eukaryota; Viridiplantae; Streptophyta; Magnoliopsida; Poales; Poaceae
Description: partial small subunit ribosomal RNA
Source: RNAcentral
AUGCUCUUAUAUUUAGUUAUCGAAAUGCUCUUAUAUUUCUUUACAGAGGGAGUACCUUGUUGUUCCAACAUAAAAAAAGAUCUCACCCUCCCCUCGGCCCUGCUAACUCCACACAUUUCUAGCCUCAUUCCUCAACCUAAUUUGUUAACCACCAAACCCUGUAGUGUUGAUGCUACUACACUUACUCUUUUUUUUCGCGAUGACUACUACACUUGCUCUGCAACACCUAGGCAUAUAUUUUUUGUUCAGGAUGACGAGGUUAGGUUAUGCUACCUUGAUGAUUUAACUUGGAAAAUCUCAUGCAUUUAUUUAGGAACCAUUAAUUCACGAACAAUUCAAGAUCUGAAACUCACGUCACAACUUUAUAUAUCUGGCGGGUGA